This is a non-coding RNA of Pteronotus mesoamericanus, 534 nucleotides long. The record is from the annotation of a RefSeq genome assembly. NCBI's taxonomy places the organism in Eukaryota, Metazoa, Chordata, Mammalia, Chiroptera, Mormoopidae.
AUGAGACUGCUGGGUCUCCUCCUGUUCCUGGGGACAGCUCCCCAGGGCAUACUGUCCCAGGUGCAGCUGCAGGAAUCGGGCCCAGGACUCGUGAAGCCCUCAGAGACCCUCUCCCUCACCUGCACUGUCUCUGGAUUCUCUUUAACGAGCUAUGGUGUUCAGUGGACUCGCCAGGUUCCAGGGAAGGGGCUGGAGUGGGUUGGUACUAUAUGGAGUGGUGGAAGCACGUACCACAACCCAAGGCUGAAAUCCCGACUCAGCAUCACCAAGGACACCUCCAAGAACCUAGUUUAUUUGACACUGAACAGCCUGAGAGCUGAAGACACAGCCAUGUAUUACUGUGCAAGAAGCACAGUAAGAGGAAGUCAGUGUGAGCCUAGACAGAAACCUCCUGCAGGAGACAAGGAGGGUGUCCACACCCAGGUGAAGCUGGUGCAGUCUGGAGUAGAGGUAAGGAAGCCUGGGGCCUUAGUGAAGGUCUCCUGCAAGGCUUCUGGAUACACCUUCAACGGCUACAAUAUGGACCGCACAUGA